GUCUACGGCCAUACCACCCUGAACGCGCCCAAUCUCUUCUGAUCUCUGAAGUUAAGCACGGUCGGCCUGGUUAGUACUUGCAUGGGAAUUAGUACACUUUUAAAAGGUGGCUGUACCUC
This 119-nucleotide ribosomal RNA is filed under the name Chinchilla lanigera (long-tailed chinchilla). Lineage: Eukaryota; Metazoa; Chordata; Mammalia; Rodentia; Chinchillidae. The record is from RNAcentral.